CUACACGCGAUCACGCUGUUGCCAUUCUAUAAGACGAACAGCUCGCAAGUUGCGCAACAUAUCCUGCAUGUUCAACUGUAGCACAUGCGAUCACAAAAACAUUCCUGAAAGUACCGCUGUUCUAAUGCAUGCAUGAUGCAUGCGCAGCUGCUCCUGUACUAAUGAUGCCAGAAAAACAAGUUGCACAAAAUACGGGAUGCC
This 201-nucleotide long non-coding RNA is filed under the name Dunaliella salina. Its description in RNAcentral is "long non-coding RNA (DSAL_LNC000276)". The record is from RNAcentral. Lineage: Eukaryota; Viridiplantae; Chlorophyta; Chlorophyceae; Chlamydomonadales; Dunaliellaceae.